CGUAAACAACCUGCCUUCAGGAUGGGGACAACAGACGGAAACGACUGCUAAUACCGAAUAAGUUCCAAGAGCCGCAUGGCCCAUGGAAGAAAAGGUGGCCUCUACUUGUAAGCUAUCGCCUGAAGAGGAGUUUGCGUCUGAUUAGCUGGUUGGAGGGGUAACGGCCCACCAAGGCGACGAUCAGUAGCCGGUCUGAGAGGAUGAACGGCCACACUGGAACUGAGACACGGUCCAGACUCCUACGGGAGGCAGCAUG
RNAcentral lists this ribosomal RNA (256 nucleotides) under uncultured bacterium. RNAcentral's name for it is "partial 16S ribosomal RNA". It matches the Rfam family "Bacterial small subunit ribosomal RNA", at positions 116 to 353 of the family's 1533-position model. The record is from RNAcentral.